RNAcentral lists this ribosomal RNA (281 nucleotides) under uncultured Bacteroides sp. Its description in RNAcentral is "partial 16S ribosomal RNA". It matches the Rfam family "Bacterial small subunit ribosomal RNA", at positions 64 to 339 of the family's 1533-position model. The record is from RNAcentral. Lineage: Bacteria; Pseudomonadati; Bacteroidota; Bacteroidia; Bacteroidales; Bacteroidaceae.
CAGCAUUUCAGUUUGCUUGCAAACUGGAGAUGGCGACCGGCGCACGGGUGAGUAACACGUAUCCAACCGUGCCGAUAACUCGGGGAUAGCCUUUCGAAAGAAAGAUUAAUACCCAAUGGCAGUAAUCAGACCGCAUGGUCUUAUUAUUAAAGAAUUUCGGUUAUCGAUGGGGAUGCGUUCCAUUAGGCAGUUGGUGAGGUAACGGCUCACCAAACCUUCGAUGGAUAGGGGUUCUGAGAGGAAGGUCCCCACAUUGGAACUGGAGACACGGUCCAAACUCC